UCUGGUGGCACGUGCCUAUAGGCUUAUCUACUCGGGAGGCUGAGGUGGGAGGAUUGCUUGAGUCCAGGAGUUCUGGGCUGUAGUGUGCUAUGACAAUUGGGUGUCUGCACUAAGUUCAGCAUCAACAUGGUGACCUCCCGGGAGUGCGAGACCACCAGGUUGCCUAAGGAGGGGUGAAUCAGCCCAGUUGGGAAAUGGAACAGGUCAAAACUCCUGUGCUGAUCAGUAGUGGAAUCUCACCUGCAAAUAGCCACUGUACUCCAGUCUGGGCAGCAUAAUGAGACCCCAUCUCUU
This is an unclassified non-coding RNA of Callithrix jacchus (white-tufted-ear marmoset), 294 nucleotides long. It matches the Rfam family "Metazoan signal recognition particle RNA". From Rfam's summary of the family: The signal recognition particle (SRP) is a universally conserved ribonucleoprotein. It is involved in the co-translational targeting of proteins to membranes. Lineage: Eukaryota; Metazoa; Chordata; Mammalia; Primates; Cebidae. The record is from Ensembl.